UGGUACUAAGAGCUCUCGAGAGAGAAAAUGGCGAUGUCUUUGGGGGUUAUCUCUACCUUCUUCUCCGGCGAAACGGCGUCGUUUUCUAAGUCUGCGUUGUCCUUGACAUCACUCCGGCACCUUCCGCCUCCUUCUCCUCAUACUAACCUGCGCCUGGUGCGAACCGUAACCUCGGCUGCCGCGUCGAAGCCGCCGGCUGCGGCCACCGGCAAGCGGGAGCCUCGAGGCAUCAUGAAGCCCCGCCGGAUUUCGCCGGAAAUGCAAGACUUUCUCGGCGUCCCCGAGAUUCCUCGGACCCAAGCGCUGAAGCAGAUUUGGGCUUAUAUCAAGCAACACAAUCUUCAGGUCUUGUCCAUAAAUCCUUUUAUCUUUUUGAGCAAUGGUUUAUCUGUGAAACUGUGUUAUUGUUGAAUGGGGUUUUAGAUGGGUUUUAUGUAUGGAUAAGGUUAUGUUUGUCUUAUUUUGCUUCUGUUGCCCUUUCUGAGUUCGGUUUUCUUGGGGUUUUUGUAUGUUCCUACAUAUUUUAUUCAGUGUUUUUUAAGAACUAUAUUUGGAUAAAGCCAUGUUGGUGUAGAUUAAAUGCGGGUUCUGUUUUUAUUUUUGCUGAGUUUAGUUUCAUUGGGGAUUUGGAUGGGGUUUAUACGGUGCUCCUAUAUUUGGAUAAGGCUGUGUUUUGGUGCGAUUGGAAUGUGCUUUUGUUAUUGCUAUACCUGAUUUUGGUUCUCUUGGGUUUUGAGAUUGGUUUUUGUGUUGCCUGUGGCCUGGAAUCUGUAAGGCAAUGUGGGUAUAGUCAAGUUGUGGGUUUUCGUUAUGAGUGGAAAUUGGUUUGGUCCUCUUGAGUUUAGAUGGUAUUUGGGAGUAGUUGUUUUUGUACCUUCUUAUGUUUGGAUAAGGUUGUAUUUUGCAGAUUAAAUGUUGGUUUUGACAUUACUGGGACUGAUUUGCUUCUGUCUCGUUAUUGGAAGGCUUUACUUUUUAUGGUCGGAAUAGGUUUUGUUUUAUGGAGGUAUUGUCAAUAGAAUGGAGUUUCCAUUAAGUUUAUACAUGGAUUUAUAUAUUGAGAUGGAUGAACUGAUGAAGCUUUAUUCUUGUAGAUGAAAUGUGGGCUUUAAAUGGCUAGAACUGAGGUUGGUUUCAAUGGGUUUUAGUUGGGUUUAUAUGCUGUUUCUUUGGGGUGUUUUUUCAUUUUGGCAAGGCCAUGGUAUGUGGUUUUGAUUACUUCAAUAGAUGAGUUUGAUGCUAUUCAAUUUAUAUGUAUUUGUAAUUGGAUUGAACAGGGUAAGGUAUAAUGAUAUAGAUGUAAUGGGAGUUUUGCUAUUUUUAGGAAUAGAUUUGAUUGUAAUUUGUUUUUUUGAAGUGUUUUUUAGUUUUUCUUAAUGUUUUGGUAUUGAGAUGAGGUUUUUUUGUUGCUUCUUAGAUGCUGCUCCUGAGCUUGGUUAUAUUGAGAUUUAGGUAGUUUAUUUGUCCUUUGUCUGAUGUUUCUGUUUUCGGAAAGUAUCUAUGAGAUUCUGGGUUUUGUUAUUGCUCUACCUUAGUUUGAUGUGUUAAUAUUGAUAUUAAUAUAGUUUUUUUUUUAAUGUUUCUGUAUUUGGAUAUGAUUGCCUGUUUGUUUGUAUACGCAUAUAACCUUAAAUGCAUAUGUAUUUGUAUAUAUGAGACCAUGGGUUCAGUUAUUGCUCCACCAUAGUUUGAUGAUUUGGGUUUUUAGAUGUGUUAAUGUCAAUAUUAAUAUAGGUUUUUUUUUGGAAUGUUUCUGUAUUUGGACAUGGUUGUGUCAUGCCUGUUUGUUUGUAUACACCACUACCUUAAAUGCAUGUGUUGGUUGUUUCAUUUGCCUUUUCCAUAUACACGACGUUAAAUGCAAUUCCUGGUUACUUGCAUGCAUAAGGGAGCUAUUUUUAUUUUGUCAAAAAAAUGAAAUAAUGGAAAAUAGGGUAUUGAUGUUGCUGGGUAGUUGGAGGAGAUAUUUGUUGAUAUGCUCUGCUGUUGAAGCAUUUGCAUGAUAUAAGAUGUAAUUAUUCAUCCUUACUUUGACAUUAGCAUCCUUCUGCACCCUGAGAGAAAAUGAAACUGCUUUCCUUUAUUUUGGCCUAUUACAAAUCUUAUAAUAGACUAUUAACAAAAUCUUGCUUUCUGAUACAUUAAUGUUCAGUGUUACUUCUUUGGAAUAAUUUCUUAAUCCGAUUUCCUCUAGCACCAAGCAACAACCUGUUGGAAAAGCUCAUUGCUUAUAUAUAUUGCAUAGUUUUAAAAGGCGUGCUUUAAGUGUGACUAAGCUCAAGGGGCAACCACUUCGUAGUUAUAGUGCCUCGCUUGCCAAGAUAUGCGCCUUAUUGAAGGGGCGUGCCUUAUCGAUUUUACUCUUCCUUUUUAAAUGCUUUUAUUUUUGAAAUUUCUAGUUGUAUAUUGAAACUUGUAUAAUUUCAUUAUUUUUUUUUUAUUGAAUGCUUCUUUUAAAUGUUUGGAAUCUUAAAUUUUUUAUUGAUUGGAUUAGAUUUUGAAUAAUAUUUUAUAGGAUUGAUAUGCAUCCCAGGUCACAUUUCACUUCACUUAGACGCGCGUCUUGUGUUGCGCCUUGCGCCUGAGCUAUAGGAGACUUUUACCCCUUAGGUGUGUCUUGCGCCUUUUAAAACUAUGAUAUAUUGACUUAUUGUUUAUCCUUUUCCAUUGUGCUACUGUUCUCAUGUACCUUAUUUGUUGAUUUAAAUCCAAUUCUGUCACUGUCAUUUUGGUGUUAUUCUUGUUCUUUCUUUCCUCACAUCUGCUGUGUCAUUUCGGUGUUGAUAUAUGAAUAAUAUUUAUGGAUAUAUUUCUUCAAGAGCCAGUGUAAAGUUUUCUUUGUUGGGAUUCAAUUUGUUUGUUUUUAUUUUGUGGAUAAUGUUUGGAUCUUUCAAAGUGGUCAGUGUGAGGGAAGCCUGAUAUGGUGUUUUGCCUUAAUUAUUAUUUUUUGUGUUUUAUUUGGAUAGACUUCUUAAAUGUUAAAAAUGAAAACGAUGUGGCUUUUGAUCAAACUGACAAAGGAUAUCUUAGCACAUUUAUAGCAUAACUCAACCCAGCAAAGCUUUUUUCCCAAUUAAUUUGGACUUGCCAAUCAACUAUUUACAAAGGCAAUAUUUGACACAGAUAAGAUAUCGGAUGAGGGGUGACUUCUGCACUUGGUGUUCCAAGCUGUUCAUAUAUAAUGUGGGGCAGCUUGCUUUGCAUUACCCCUUCUCUAAAGAACUCACCCACCUGUAUAAAUAUUAACCCUUUAAUGCGACUAAAAUUUUUUGUUUUACCCUUCUAUUUGACUAAUGUAUGAGGGUUAUGCAGUUAUAUUAUAGGUGGGUUUAGAUCACAUUUUGAUUCUUGUGGGGCUACAUUUUAGUUGGACAGUUGUACCUUUAGUUUGCCUUUCUCUACCCCUCCCUGUUCAAUUUUGCAUUUGUGUGUGUAGAUUGUGGCUGGAAUUUAGUUAUGCUAUUUAUGUAUUCAUCUAUAAUUUGGUUCUGACGUGGUUUGUCCUUUUCCCUGCUAGGAUCCUGAAAACAAGAAGAUUAUAGUCUGUGAUGAGAAACUGAAGAGUAUAUUUGCAGGGAAGGACCGCGUUGGUUUUCUUGAGAUUGCAGGGUUGAUUAAUCCACACUUUCUUAAGUGAAACUCAAUCUGCAAGAGGAUGGAUUUAGAACUAGAAAACCAGCUAUGAAGCAAAUUUUGCACAAGGGCUCUCUGUUGAGUUGGUGAUAUCACUCAAUAGAAGUGGGAGCGCUUUAUGCGACUUAGUACUUAAUCUUCAGUUCUGGAACCUGCAUAUAGUAACUGGCUUUUUUGGUUUUGUUGAGUGGGUCUGUUUCUAGGAUUAUGCAGGCUAUCUAAUGCAAUAUUUUCAGACGCCCAGCCCAAUUUUUUUAAUUUUAGUUAAUAUCUUGAGCUUUUGCUGGAAUCUUGUGUGCUUAAGGUGUGCAAUGGUUCUUUCUGUUUAACCUUUUCUGCAGGUGUGCAAGCAGGAGUGUUUUAGUUAAAACAUUCGGCCUGCCCCUAAGCCCAGUGGGGAAUCUGCAUAAAACCUAAAAUGUGCAUCAAAGCCCUGAUUGACUGGCA
This 4080-nucleotide long non-coding RNA is filed under the name Vitis vinifera (wine grape). RNAcentral describes it as "long non-coding RNA (VVIN_LNC000724)". Lineage: Eukaryota; Viridiplantae; Streptophyta; Magnoliopsida; Vitales; Vitaceae. The record is from RNAcentral.